Molecule: long non-coding RNA, 1819 nt
Filed under: Pandoravirus neocaledonia
Description: hypothetical ncRNA
Source: RNAcentral
UUCCGGGCCGGUGCCGCCGAGGUCGCUCCCGUAAAGUUUUCGCGCCAUUGUCUUUUAUUUGGCGCAAAAGGAAAAAGAAAGACAAACACAGGACAAACACAAGACACACGCGCGCGCAAGGGCCGGCAUGCACACGGAGCAAUAGAGGCAAAAGAUAUGCACCAUGCUUGUGAUUCUCUUUUUUUAUCACAUGCGCGCAUCAGAAGGGAAUGGUAUGGAUGGGCGACUUUAGCACGUCUGUUGCAGCCCAAAUGGCCGCGCCAUGAACAACCAACAGGCAGCUGACGCCGCGCAGGGAGCCCCUGUCUUUUGCACGGAGAUCCUUCCAAUGUGUGCCGGGCACCUUGACGGCGAAUCGCACAUGUUGCCACGAUCGGGCGCACGGAUCGCGGCGCGCGCGCGCCUCGGUGACGACGUCGACGAGCGGCCUCGUGUCGCCACUGGCAAAAGAGAGCAUGCCGUAACUAUGCGCGCGCAGCGGACGCGCAGAGACGUCGACGACGAUCACGGGGGCAAACUCCUGCUCGUGGUGACCGCACCAGAAAUCGUCCGAUUGCAAACAGGAGGCAUCGUCGGCGCCCGCCAGGGAAUCAUCGACAUAGGCGGUGAUGGUCGUCAAGUUGUCUCGGUAGAGGCACAUGUUCCCUCGCGCUUCUGGAUCAACGCGACACCACGGACUGUAUCCACACGUGAGGUAGACGGCAGCGUCGCGACCGGCACCCACGACGGCCUUGGCGAGUGCGAUGAUAUCAGCCCACGUCGUCGCGGCGCUGUCAUGGGCCGUGGCCGCGUGGCGGUGUUCAUACCAAUCGCCGGCCACGGCAUAGGUGUCGGGCUUGAGAUCAAACCGAUAUCUAUCGAAAACGCGCAAGGUGAUGCAUCUCUGCUCAUCUGGUUCGUUCUCGUAGCGUCGGCGGCUGAGCGCGAUUUGUGCGGCGUCAAACAAUGCAUCGAGUUGGUACUAGUCGGCGAUGGCGCGCACGCCCCAAAGGUCAUACGGCGACCGCAGAUGCGCGACAAGGUCGACGCCGUGUCUCUGGCAGUCGAGCACAAUGGCAAAAUGGCGUGGGUUUUGAUCGAUGCAAAGCCGGCCGUCCAAGGUGGGGGUGUGCCAUCGGGCGUCAUUGCUCGCCAUCAAGGCCAGGAGCGACUCGUGUCGUGAGUCGCUCUUCAUCGUGGCACGCGAGCGUAGCGUCGAUUUGCUCACGUCCAUGGGUUCGGCGCUGCCCCCUACCGCCAAUCGCACGAUGCCGUCGCGUUGUUGAACGGCAUCGCCUGGAUCGCACGUCUGCGUUGGCGCGUGCGUGACCGCACUGCCGUCGAUCCAAACGACCAGACCGUCGCAAGACAGAGACGACGAUGGACCUUCGCGGUCGGCGAGCAGCGACAUUGCGACCGCAGCGUCAUAAGGGCGCAUACAGUCGAGCGCCCCUGUGCCGUGCCUCAGACAGUCGACCAUACGAUCAAAAUGCGCCGCGCAUUCGUCCACAAAGCAGACCUCUCCGUCCGACUGAGGCGCGGUUAAAAGCGCUCGUGCGCGCGAGCCAGGCGGCGCCAGACCGGCCAGCGUCUUUUCGACACGCCUCGUCACGCCACCGACAUUAAGCCGGAGAUGGGUCGCGCUCGGGGGUGUGGCACGCUCGUCCACGUCCAUGGCUGCUGUGCCUGCUUUUUCCUUUUCCUCCUCUUAUUCGAAAAUCUAUGGCUAUGGGCUUCUUUCUUUUUCCCCUUUCCUUUGCUGGCGCGCCAGGCGGUUCACCUUCUUUUCCACUCGCUUUUCGUGUGCUCUUUGUGGGAGGAUCAAAUAUUCUUUUGUGGU